This 501-nucleotide ribosomal RNA is filed under the name uncultured bacterium. RNAcentral describes it as "partial 16S ribosomal RNA". It matches the Rfam family "Bacterial small subunit ribosomal RNA", at positions 30 to 523 of the family's 1533-position model. The record is from RNAcentral.
AUUGAACGCUGGCGGCAGGCUCAACACAUGCAAGUCGAGCGGGGGAAGGUAGCUUGCUACCGGACCUAGCGGCGGACGGGUGAGUAAUGCUUAGGAAUCUGCCUAUUAGUGGGGGACAACAUCUCGAAAGGGAUGCUAAUACCGCAUACGUCCUACGGGAGAAAGCAGGGGAUCUUCGGACCUUGCGCUAAUAGACGAGCCUAAGUCGGAUUAGCUAGCUGGUGGGGUAAAGGCCUACCAAGGCGACGAUCUGUAGCGGGUCUGAGAGGAUGAUCCGCCACACUGGGACUGAGACACGGCCCAGACUCCUACGGGAGGCAGCAGUGGGGAAUAUUGGACAAUGGGGGGAACCCUGAUCCAGCCAUGCCGCGUGUGUGAAGAAGGCCUUAUGGUUGUAAAGCACUUUAAGCGAGGAGGAGGCUACUUUAGUUAAUACCUAGAGAUAGUGGACGUUACUCGCAGAAUAAGCACCGGCUAACUCUGUGCCAGCAGCCGCCGCCG